This 3619-nucleotide long non-coding RNA is filed under the name Mytilus galloprovincialis (Mediterranean mussel). The record is from RNAcentral. Lineage: Eukaryota; Metazoa; Mollusca; Bivalvia; Mytilida; Mytilidae.
AUACAACUAAUAGAUCAUUUAACUUCGGGCGAAAUGUAAAAUUUACACUAAUAGGUCUACAUGUGCUCAGGUAUUUAUUAUAAAUCAUUGGCUUUAAAAUGUUCGGAUUUGAGGAUUCAUAUUGAAGGUAAUAUAGAAAGCGUUUCAGACGCACAAUAAGUCUUUUUUUUUUGUAUAUACACUCUAUCAAACUACACCGGUUGAACGGGGCUAAGACAUAUUAUUAUCCUCGACAUUUAAUAUGCGCAGUAAAAAACUUUACUCAAAAAGGGGGAGGUGAGUGUUCGAUUAAACUGGGGCAUUCCCGUUGAAGGCAAUACGCACAGCGUUUUUGAUGUUCAACAUGAAUAAGUCUUAAUUUCAUGUACAUCCUAUCAAACCAAACGACUUGAAAGGGGGCUUAGACAUAAUGUAAUCCCUCGAUAUCUCAUGUGCGCAGUAAAACCCCUUGCAAAAAGAGGGUGUCCGAUAAGAAUGGGGACGUUUAAUUCGAUGUCUUUUGUGGCGAGAGGAUCAAUUUCCCUGUUCGAGUAAUUAGUCCUUCAAAAAACUGACCAAGGAACACUUUUCUGAAACUAAGAGUCCAAAUUUGCGGCCAUCCAGCCCUGUCAACAUUCGUUGCAGUAUAUAUCUUUUGUGUUAAUUUUGAAGUGAUUACCAUUAGACAUUUAACAACCAACAAUCAACAUAUUGGUCUAUUCUUUACUUUGGUACAUUUUAUUUUUCUAAUAUAACUUGAUAAAAGUUUGUACCUAUGAUAAUCAUUAUUAAUUUAGUUCUUUGACAGAGUCGUCCUGGACAUGCAUGAAAUAUUUGCCACUAGACGUCUAGCAACCAACAAUCAAUCAAUUUUGAAACAGAUCGGCUGGUCAUCUUCAGAAGGAGCGAUAUGUAGACACGACUGUUGUCUGCUCUAUAGUCAGGUUGGUGUCUCUUUGACACAUUCCCCAUUUCCAUUCUCAAUUUUAUAACCGAUAAAACGUUUUAGAGAUGAUAUGGACCGACAAGUUGAUUGUUGAUUGUUUAAUGGUAAAUGCACCAAAGUUUUGAAUAAAUCUACUGAUAACACUAUUAUUAAACUGAUACGUGCAUUGUGUAUACUAAACGAUUUUACUUGGCUUCAUAGUAUAUUGUUUGUCCUUAGUUUUGAUAUGAACACAUGACUUUUUAUUAUUGUAGAUCGUUAACAAUUUUAUGAGUGAUUCACAUCAACGAGCUUAUACAUUAAAUUUAAGUGAGAAUUUUCGUGUGAAUUUCACGUGAAAUUUUAAUUGAGAAUUUCAAGUGGACUUUUCAAAAUAAAAAAAAUGUAUUUUUCAUGACUUUUAAUGAAUAUAAAAGAGAUCAUACUUGAAUUACUUCAUUUCAACAGUUCACGUUAAUUUCACGUGCUUUUGACGUGAAAUUCACAUAAACUAAUUAUUCGUGCUAGCGUCGUGUGUGGGAGGUUGUCGGUUUGAUUCCUGUCCUGGUUAAACAAAAAACUUGACGUGGUAUUUUCUGCCUCUCUGCUAUUGACGCAAUUGAUAUAAUAGAUAAGGCUGGUCAGCUUGAGGCUAGGAUAAUAAGUAUUCAUAUGCAGGGUGACAUAUGUUGUCUGUUGCUUUGUAAGAUAUCCCAGAAUGUCGGUUUAUCAUGACUUUAGGUUCAUAUUGUAUAUCGAAUUCUUCAUCAACAUACCCUAGUAAUAAUUACCACUGGACGACUAUUUUUUUUUGUUUAUCGGAGUCAGAUUUUUUAUUAGCACAAUAAGGGUGGGGAACUCUGGAUUUAGAAUAAUUUUUGUUGUCAUCUGCUUUGCCAGAUUUUUUGUUUUCAUCAAAUUUGGGAUCAGAAUAUAUUUCUUUAUGUAACCAUACCCGCCCCCACCCAUUUUUGUCGAGCCUGCAACUUUUGUUGCAGAAAGCUCGACAUAGGGAUAGUGAUCCGGCGGCGCGGCGGGCUACGGCGGCGGCGGCGGUGUUAGCUCACUUCUUAAAAGCUAUAUAUUUUAGAAGAUGGAAGACAUGGAUGCUUCAUAUAUUGUAUAUAGAUGCCUCAUGUUACGAAGUUUCCGUCAGUCACAUGUCCAUUGUCCUUGACCUAUUUUCAUGGUUCAGUGACCACUUGAAAAAAAAGUUUCAAAUUUUUUUGUAAUGUUAAAUUCUCUCUCUUACUGUAAGUAAUAGAUAACUAUAUUUAGUAUGUGCGUACCUUGCAAGGUCCUCAUGCCGUCAGACAGUUUUCACUUGACUCGACCUCAUUUCAUGGAUCAGUGAACAAGGUUAAGUUUUGGUGGUCAAGUCCAUAUCUCAGAUACUAUAAGCAAUAGGUCUAGUAUAUUUGGUGUAUGGAAGGACUGUAAGGUGUACAUGUCCAACUGGCCAGGUGUCAUCUGACCUUGACCUCAUUUCAUGGUUCAGUGGUUAUAGUUAAGUUUUUGUAUUUUGGUCUGUUUUUCUCAUACUUUAUGCAAUAGGUUUACUAUAUUUGUUGUAUGGAAUGAUUGUAAGGUGUACAUGUCUAGCGGGCAGAUGUCAUCUGACCUUGACCUCAUUUUUCAUUUCAGUGGUUAUAGUUAAGUUUUUUGUGUUUUGGUCUGUUUUUCUCAUAUUUUAUGCAAUAGGUUUACUAUAUUUGUUGUAUGGAAUGAUUGUAAGGUGUACAUGUCUAGCGGGCAGAUGUCAUCUGACCUUGACCUCAUUUUCAUGGUUCAGUUGUCAAAGUUAAGUUUUUGAGUUUUGGUCUUUUUAUCUUAUACUAUAUGUCAUAGGUCAACUAUAUUUGGUGUAUGGAAAUAUUUUAUGAUCUAUAUGUCAGUCGUACAGGUUUUAUUUGACCUUGACCUGGUUUUCACGGUUCAUUGCUCUGUGUUAAGUUUUUGUGUUUUGGUCUAUUUUCUUAAACUAUAAGCAAUAGGUCAACUAUAUUUGUUGUAUGGAAGCAUUGUUAGCUGUACCAUGUCUGCCUGGCAUAUGUUCAACUGACCUUGACCUCUUUUCAUGGUUCAUGUUAAGUUUAUGUGACAGUCGUAAUAAAGCUUUAUAUUUAGGAGUAUCAACAUAAUAUCAAUGAUUAGUAAAGAAGGCGAGACAUUUCAGUGUGUGCACUCUUGUUGAAGUUAAAUAGUUGUUCCCUAAUGUCUAGUCAUAUUGUACAACAAAGUAUCCGAGCCACGCGAUUUCCUACUGGUUUCAACUUUUUACAUGUCAUUGACUUGCAACAGAAAUUACUAACGGUUGUCUUUCUUUGUCUUAUAUACUUAUAGACUCAUGAAUAAUGGAAGGAAGUCAAAUUUGAUAGAACAACCUGAGAUACCUUUUAACAAACUUAUUGGAUUAGUGAUAUUUAAAGAACAACCAUGUUUUUGAGGAUAAUCAAACACAGAUCGCAUCACCUCAGCACAUCAGAUGAACAUCACACGGGUAGUGACCGGACAGAAAACAAAAUGACCAUACGCAAGGAGCACGUGCUGACCUACAUGAUCUACUUAGUUAUGAUAUGCAUAUUUAUAUUAUUGUUGCAUGCAUAUAUACGGUAACUUUAUCAAUGUUCAAUCAGGAUUAACACUGCCUCGUAUUGUAAAUAUGUUUAAGCUUUAAUUUAUGAUAUUCGUUUUUGUCAUACUUGUUUGAAUAAA